AUCAGGUCAGCACUCCUUGCAAAAGACAUUCCAGAGUGCUGUCAUCAGGAGCUUUGUGUGGGGAACACUUCUUUUUUCUGAGAAGUUGAGGAUACACUCAAAGAACUUCCUACCAGCCACAGAAGGACACAUUACCAAGCAACUAUUUCCAUGAAAGGUAAUACAGAAUUCUAGAGGAAGCCUUUGUGACAUCAGGCAAGGGAAAAAGUAAACUCCCUGACUCCCUGAAUGCUGAAAGGGAGAAGGAAAGGAAAACAACUGUGGAAACAUCAAUUUGUAUUAAGGGAAACCUCAUUAUUUGUGGUUCCUAGCUGAUCCUACUGUUCCUGGUCACAGUGCUCCUUAGGGCAGCUUGAAUCUUCCACAGCUCCUGGCAACACUCAGACACUUCAGCUUCUUUUUACCAUCAAUGAAAGUGAGCAGUGAAAGCUUUAAAAAUAAUUGGAAUGAGUUGGAAAGUAUAAGUAAAUGGAGGG
RNAcentral lists this long non-coding RNA (476 nucleotides) under Zonotrichia albicollis (white-throated sparrow). RNAcentral's name for it is "lncRNA (ENSZALG00000011630.1)". The record is from RNAcentral. Lineage: Eukaryota; Metazoa; Chordata; Aves; Passeriformes; Passerellidae.